RNAcentral lists this ribosomal RNA (427 nucleotides) under uncultured bacterium. RNAcentral's name for it is "bacterial SSU rRNA". It matches the Rfam family "Bacterial small subunit ribosomal RNA", at positions 355 to 796 of the family's 1533-position model. The record is from RNAcentral.
UGAGGAAUCUUCCGCAAUGGGCGCAAGCCUGACGGAGCGACGCCGCGUGUGGGAUGAAGUCUUUCGGGAUGUAAACCACUGUUCUAGAGGGAAGAGAACGGACGGUACCUCUAGAGAAAGCCCCGGCUAACUACGUGCCAGCAGCCGCGGUAAUACGUAGGGGGCAAGCGUUACCCGGAUUCACUGGGCGUAAAGCGCGUGUAGGCGGCUGGCCAAGCGUGGUGUGAAAUCUCCGGGCUCAACCCGGAAACUGCACUGCGAACUGGCCUGGCUGGAGUGCAGGAGAGGGAUGCGGAAUUCACGGUGUAGCGGUGAAAUGCGUAGAUAUCGUGAGGAACACCAGUGGCGAAGGCGGCAUCCUGGCCUGUAACUGACGCUGAGACGCGAAAGCGUGGGGAGCGAACCGGAUUAGAUACCCCCGUAGUCC